UCCCCUGUAGCUCAACAGGUAGAGCCGUGGCGCUGGAAGGCGGCCGCACAGACGCCGGUUCGAGUCCGGCCAGGGGAACGA
RNAcentral lists this transfer RNA (81 nucleotides) under Rhodococcus (subgen. Prescottella) equi. RNAcentral describes it as "Prescottella equi tRNA-OTHER". It matches the Rfam family "tRNA". From Rfam's summary of the family: Transfer RNA (tRNA) molecules are approximately 80 nucleotides in length. Their secondary structure includes four short double-helical elements and three loops (D, anti-codon, and T loops). The record is from RNAcentral. Lineage: Bacteria; Bacillati; Actinomycetota; Actinomycetes; Mycobacteriales; Nocardiaceae.